Molecule: ribosomal RNA, 497 nt
Filed under: uncultured bacterium
Lineage: Bacteria
Description: partial 16S ribosomal RNA
Rfam family: Bacterial small subunit ribosomal RNA
Source: RNAcentral
GAUGAACGCUGGCGGCGUGCCUAAUACAUGCAAGUCGAGCGAACAGACGAGGAGCUUGCUCCUCUGACGUUAGCGGCGGACGGGUGAGUAACACGUGGAUAACCUACCUAUAAGACUGGGAUAACUUCGGGAAACCGGAGCUAAUACCGGAUAACAUGUUGAACCGCAUGGUUCAACAGUGAAAGACGGUCUUGCUGUCACUUAUAGAUGGAUCCGCGCUGCAUUAGCUAGUUGGUAAGGUAACGGCUUACCAAGGCAACGAUGCGUAGCCGACCUGAGAGGGUGAUCGGCCACACUGGAACUGAGACACGGUCCAGACUCCUACGGGAGGCAGCAGUAGGGAAUCUUCCGCAAUGGGCGAAAGCCUGACGGAGCAACGCCGCGUGAGUGAAGAAGGUCUUCGGAUCGUAAAACUCUGCUAUUAGGGAAGAACAAAUGUGUAAGUAACUAUGCACGUCUUGACGGUACCUAAUCAGAAAGCCACGGCUAACUACGUG